UACGUAGGGGGCGAGCGUUGUCCGGAUUCAUUGGGCGUAAAGCGCGCGUAGGCGGCUUGGCAAGUCGGCCGUGAAAUCUCCGGGCUCAACUCGGAGGGGUCGGGCGAGACUGCCAGGCUCGAGGUGGGCAGAGGGCAGUGGAAUUCCGGGUGUAGUGGUGGAAUGCGUAGAGAUCCGGAGGAACACCAGUGGCGAAGGCGGCUGCCUGGGCCUGGCCUGACGCUGAGGCGCGAAAGCGUGGGGAGCAAACAGG
This 253-nucleotide ribosomal RNA is filed under the name uncultured bacterium. RNAcentral describes it as "partial 16S ribosomal RNA". It matches the Rfam family "Bacterial small subunit ribosomal RNA", at positions 524 to 776 of the family's 1533-position model. The record is from RNAcentral.